UCGAACGAUGAACCACUUCGGUGGGGAUUAGUGGCGAACGGGUGAGUAACACGUGGGCAAUCUGCCCUUCACUCUGGGACAAGCCCUGGAAACGGGGUCUAAUACCGGAUACCACCUUCACUGGCAUCUGUGAAGGUUGAAAGCUCCGGCGGUGAAGGAUGAGCCCGCGGCCUAUCAGCUUGUUGGUGAGGUAAUGGCUCACCAAGGCGACGACGGGUAGCCGGCCUGAGAGGGCGACCGGCCACACUGGGACUGAGACACGGCCCAGACUCCUACGGGAGGCAGCAGUGGGGAAUAUUGCACAAUGGGCGAAAGCCUGAUGCAGCGACGCCGCGUGAGGGAUGACGGCCUUCGGGUUGUAAACCUCUUUCAGCAGGGAAGAAGCGAAAGUGACGGUACCUGCAGAAGAAGCGCCGGCUAACUACGUGCCAGCAGCCGCGGUAAUACGUAGGGCGCAAGCGUUGUCCGGAAUUAUUGGGCGUAAAGAGCUCGUAGGCGGCUUGUCACGUCGGGUGUGAAAGCCCGGGGCUUAACCCCGGGUCUGCAUUCGAUACGGGCUAGCUAGAGUGUGGUAGGGGAGAUCGGAAUUCCUGGUGUAGCGGUGAAAUGCGCAGAUAUCAGGAGGAACACCGGUGGCGAAGGCGGAUCUCUGGGCCAUUACUGACGCUGAGGAGCGAAAGCGUGGGGAGCGAACAGGAU
This 699-nucleotide ribosomal RNA is filed under the name Streptomyces sp. ME-832. RNAcentral describes it as "bacterial SSU rRNA". It matches the Rfam family "Bacterial small subunit ribosomal RNA", at positions 62 to 778 of the family's 1533-position model. The record is from RNAcentral. Lineage: Bacteria; Bacillati; Actinomycetota; Actinomycetes; Kitasatosporales; Streptomycetaceae.